This 301-nucleotide ribosomal RNA is filed under the name uncultured bacterium. RNAcentral describes it as "partial 16S ribosomal RNA". It matches the Rfam family "Bacterial small subunit ribosomal RNA", at positions 509 to 807 of the family's 1533-position model. The record is from RNAcentral.
CAGUCGCCACGGUAAUACGGAGGGGGCUAGCGUUGUUCGGAAUUACUGGGCGUAAAGCGCACGUAGGCGGCUUGGUAAGUUAGAGGUGAAAGCCUGGAGCUCAACUCCAGAAUUGCCUUUAAGACUGCCGAGCUAGCAGGUGAGAGAGGUAAGUGGAAUUCCGAGUGUAGAGGUGAAAUCCGUAGAUAUUCGGAAGAACACCAGUGGCGAAGGCGGCUUACUGGCUCAUACUGGACGCUGAGGUGCGAAAGCGUUGGGAGCAAACAGGAUUAGAUACCCCAGUAGUCCCUGUCUCUUAUAC